This 367-nucleotide unclassified non-coding RNA is filed under the name uncultured Clavariaceae. RNAcentral describes it as "sequence contains ITS1". The stretch from base 1 to 105 matches the Rfam family "5.8S ribosomal RNA", at positions 50 to 154 of the family's 154-position model. The record is from RNAcentral. Lineage: Eukaryota; Fungi; Basidiomycota; Agaricomycetes; Agaricales; Clavariaceae.
GAAUUGCGAUAUGUAAUGUGAAUUGCAGAAUUCAGUGAAUCAUCGAAUCUUUGAACGCACAUUGCACCCUCUGUUAUUCCGGAGGGUAUGCCUGUUUGAGUGUCAUUAAUACAUCAACACAGACAUGUUUUAUUACUUGUUCUGAUGCUUGGAUGUUGAAGGCCUGCUGGCAAGUACCAUUGUCAGCUCCUUUUAAAUCUAUUAGCAGAAACUUUGCAGAACUGGCUCCAGUUUGAUAAAAUUGAACUGUUGUUAGAAAAGCACUUUGUUUCAGCUUCCAAUAGUCCAGUUUACUGGACUGUCUCUUUCGAGGCAUUCACUUUGACAACUUGACCUCAAAUCAGGUAGGAUUACCCGCUGAACUUAA